RNAcentral lists this ribosomal RNA (274 nucleotides) under uncultured bacterium. RNAcentral describes it as "partial 16S ribosomal RNA". It matches the Rfam family "Bacterial small subunit ribosomal RNA", at positions 523 to 796 of the family's 1533-position model. The record is from RNAcentral.
AUACGGAGGGUGCAAGCGUUAUUCGGAAUCACUGGGCGUAAAGGGUGCGUAGGCGGUCUGAUAAGUCUGAUGUGAAAUCCUAUGGCUCAACCAUAGAACUGCAUUGGAAACUGUCAGACUAGAAUACUGAAGGGGCAGAUGGAAUUAGUGGUGUAGGGGUAAAAUCCGUAGAUAUCACUAGGAAUACCGAAAGCGAAAGCGAUCUGCUGGGAAGUUAUUGACGCUGAGGCACGAAAGCGUGGGUAGCAAACGGGAUUAGAUACCCCAGUAGUCC